RNAcentral lists this transfer RNA (73 nucleotides) under Ictidomys tridecemlineatus (thirteen-lined ground squirrel). RNAcentral describes it as "Spermophilus tridecemlineatus (thirteen-lined ground squirrel) tRNA". It matches the Rfam family "tRNA". From Rfam's summary of the family: Transfer RNA (tRNA) molecules are approximately 80 nucleotides in length. Their secondary structure includes four short double-helical elements and three loops (D, anti-codon, and T loops). Further hydrogen bonds mediate the characteristic L-shaped molecular structure. tRNAs have two regions of fundamental functional importance: the anti-codon, which is responsible for specific mRNA codon recognition, and the 3' end, to which the tRNAs corresponding amino acid is attached (by aminoacyl-tRNA synthetases). tRNAs cope with the degeneracy of the genetic code in two manners: having more than one tRNA (with a specific anti-codon) for a particular amino acid; and 'wobble' base-pairing, i.e. permitting non-standard base-pairing at the 3rd anti-codon position. The record is from Rfam by way of RNAcentral. Lineage: Eukaryota; Metazoa; Chordata; Mammalia; Rodentia; Sciuridae.
GGGGAUGUAGCUCAAUUGGUAGAGAGUUGGCCUGGCAUAGGCAAAGCUCUGGGUUCAAACCCCAGCAUCCCCC